UGUCAGCCGCCGCGGUAAUACAGAGGUGGCGAGCGUUGUUCGGAUUUACUGGGCGUAAAGGGUGCGUAGGCGGUACUGUGUGUCGGGUGUGAAAUCCCACUGCUCAACGGUGGAAUGGCACUCGAAACUGCAGGACUAGAGUGCAGGAGAGGAGAGCGGAAUUCCUGGUGUAGCGGUGGAAUGCGUUGAUAUCAGGAAGAACACCGGUGGCGUAGGCGGCUCUCUGGAAUGCAACUGACGCUGAGGCACGAAAGCUGGGGGAGCAAACAGGAUUAGAUACCCUGGUAGUCCCAGCUGUAAACGGUGUGCAUUUGGCGUAGGAGGAAUUGACCCCUUCUGUGCCGUAGCUAACGCGAUAAAUGCACCGCCUGGGGAGUACGGUCGCAAGAUUAAAACUUAAAUGAAUUGACGG
RNAcentral lists this ribosomal RNA (412 nucleotides) under uncultured Lentisphaerota bacterium. Its description in RNAcentral is "bacterial SSU rRNA". It matches the Rfam family "Bacterial small subunit ribosomal RNA", at positions 506 to 916 of the family's 1533-position model. The record is from RNAcentral. Lineage: Bacteria; Pseudomonadati; Lentisphaerota.